RNAcentral lists this ribosomal RNA (468 nucleotides) under uncultured bacterium. RNAcentral's name for it is "partial 16S ribosomal RNA". It matches the Rfam family "Bacterial small subunit ribosomal RNA", at positions 28 to 507 of the family's 1533-position model. The record is from RNAcentral.
GACGAACGCUGGCGGCGUGCUUAACACAUGCAAGUCGAACGGAAAGGCCCUGCUUUUGUUGGUUGCUCGAGUGGCGAACGGGUGAGUAACACGUGAGUAACCUGCCCUUGACUUUGGGAUAACUUCAGGAAACUGGGGCUCAUACCGGAUAGGAGCUCCUGCUGCAUGGUGGGGGUUGGAAAGUUUCGGCGGUUGGGGAUGGACUCGCGGCUUAUCAGCUUGUUGGUGGGGUAGUGGCUUACCAAGGCUUUGACGGGUAGCCGGCCUGAGAGGGUGACCGGCGACAUUGGGACUGAGAGACGGCCCAGACUCCUACGGGAGGCAGAAGUGGGGAAUAUUGCACAAUAGGCGGAAGCCUGAUGCAGCAACGCCGCGUGCGGGAUGACGGCCUUCGGGUUGUAAACCGAUUUCGACUGUGACGAAGCGUGAGUGACGGUAAUGGGUAAAGAAGCACCGGCUAACUACGUG